RNA transcript from Myxocyprinus asiaticus (Chinese sucker), 3880 nucleotides. It is a transcript of the gene named KH domain-containing, RNA-binding, signal transduction-associated protein 1-like, with no coding region annotated. NCBI's taxonomy places the organism in Eukaryota, Metazoa, Chordata, Actinopteri, Cypriniformes, Catostomidae. The record is from RefSeq and is a predicted model, not a curated record. The transcript has 11 exons.
CUUUUGUUCGUUUCUGUUUCCAACCGCACACAUACCGGAGGUCCGGAGCCGUUGCGACUCGACGAGACGCCGUCAGCAGCACACGCGUUUUUCGUGUAAAGACUCGUAUUGCGGAAAGUGGAUACUGAAAUAGUUUUACCUGCCGGACUUUUGGUGCUUGAUUGCGAUCUCUUCAUUAACUUAUUUACAAACUCAACAUGGAGGACGAGAGCAAAUAUCUCCCGCAGCUGCUGGCGGAGCGAGACAGCCUGGACUCGUCGUUCACACACGCCAUGAAACUUAUAUCCGCAGAAAUCGAGAGGGUUCAGAAAGGGGAGACCGAGAAAGAACCUGAAAGCUACCUGGACCUCUUCACAACAAAAAACAUCAAACUGAAGGAAAGGGUACUUAUACCGGUCAAACAGUACCCUAAGUUUAACUUUGUUGGGAAGAUCCUUGGACCACAGGGGAACACCAUAAAGAGACUGCAGGAGGAGACGGGUGCUAAGAUCUCAGUGCUUGGGAAAGGAUCCAUGAGGGACAAAACCAAGGAGGAAGGCUUGAGGAAAGGUGGAGAGCCAAAGUAUUCACAUUUGUCCAUGGAGCUUCAUGUGUUUAUUGAGGUUUUUGCUCCUGUUCCUGAGGCAUACAUGCGCAUGGCACACGCCAUGGAAGAGAUCAAAAAGUUCUUGUUUCCGGACAUGAUGGAUGAUAUUUGCCAGGAACAGUUCAUGGAGAUGAAGUUUCUAAACGGGGGUCAGGAACAUGGGGGCAGAGGACGAGGAGGUCCACCCGUCAGAGGCCGUGGAGCCCACCCGGCUUCAGGGGCACCCAGGGGUCGUGGUAUGCCCCUGCGUGGAGGUGCUCGUGGUGGCCCACCUCGAGGCGGAGCUGUUAGAGGAGCUCCUGCUGGGAGAGGCGGGCCACAAGCCCAGUCUGCCAGAGGAGCAGCUGCUACCCGUGCCCGUCCAGCUGCUUCUGCUCCACCUAGGAUGCCCCCUCCACCACCUUCCCACCCUCCGGCCCAAGAGACAUAUGAAGAAUAUUCUUAUGAUGAGAACUACACCGAGGCAGCCUAUGAACCCUACGACAGCUACUACAGUCAGCCGCAGGCAGAACCAGAAUACUAUGAUUAUGGCCAUGGAGAGACACAGGAAGGGUACGAAAGCUAUGCUCAAGAUGAUUGGAACGGAACACAGCGUGCUGCUGCCGGUGGAAAAGCUCCCACUCAGAGACAGACUAAGCCUGGGUACAGGGAACACCCCUAUGGACGAUACUAAAUCUGACUAGUGGAACGCCACCCAACAUGUCGCCAUGACAACUGUCGCCCAUGGCAGCUCACGCUUUAAGCUACCCGACAAAAGUAAUGGUGCCUGACAAUUCCAGGAAAUGGAAUCAGUUUGACAAGAAUGCGAGACCUCUGCUCUGGAAAAGUGUUUGUUCAAAGUAAGGGCACUCUUAACUCUGAACAUCAGCAGUCUUUAUGGGACCAAGGACAAUGGCAGUUCUCAGAAACCAGAGGUCUGAAGGACGUCUUCUGAGAAGAACGAAGUGGGUCUGUGCGCAGAAGGAAAUCAACGUUCUGGUCGACACAAGGCCCAAGCUUGAAUCAGGCCGAUAUGUGCAAUAGAAGUCUCUGUUAAUGUAUUCUAUAUGCGUCACCAGUUGUAUUGGAGGUGAAAGUUAAUUUCUUCGUGCCAGAAUGUUUCUGGCACUCUUUAGUGGUUACCUCAAGGUGUUUCUUAACACACUUAACUUGACAUUCUCAUCUUUAAAUUGACCUCUUAUGCUUUUGUUGGCCAAGAAAUCAUUUUAACAAGCUCUGAAAAUUCUGUCCAGGCUCUCCGGAUGUCCACCUCUGACAAUACUCCAGUGCUUUAUUCUGCAAGACAAGCAUGACUUCCCCGACACACUCGGUUCCUCACUCUGAGGAAUGUACAUGCUGAUUUGGCCAUAUCUUUUUGCACAGACUUUGUCCUUUUAAUUGCCAUGGUAAUUUUCACCCGACUCGUUAGAGGAGAUAUCUGUUUGAAUGGGCUUCUGUUGCUUUAGCUGUCUUGGAGUUUUAUAAUUUACAAUUGAAACUUGGGUCUUAAGCAAAAACAUGCUUGAGCUUUUGCAGUGUUGAUUUUCAUCUAAAUCAUGUUAUACAAUAGUUGGUUUCAGACCUCUGCUGUGGACUAUUGGUGUUCCAAGAGCACUGAUAUUUGGUCUAACAGCACUGGAACACUUCACUGUUUGUAUCACCCUGCUUUUCUGUGUUCCUAUUUUCGUUGGCGACCCAAAAUUUAGUGUCUAAAUUAUAAUUUACUCAACAUUUUGUUUAUAGAAUACUCUUGCUUGUGAUAUUGUUCAGUUAGCAUUUUUACCUUCUGGACAAAGGUCUGUCUUGCCCUAAAUGAGAGAUUUUCACAAAUAUUGCUUUUUCUAAUCCCUGCUAUGCAGUCUGACUUUUGAACCGAAUACAUUUGUGCAUGUGUACAUGUUGUUGUCAGAGUAUAUAAGUUGAGCUUCCCUGGAUCUUGAUCUUUUGCUCAUUUUUCCCCAGUGCAAGAAGGAUUCAGGCUUGUCAUUCUGACCAAUUACUGCUGAUGACAGCAUGUCCAUACCCACCGUAGAGCCGGCACUGGUUGCUGACUGGCUAACAGGACUCUGCCUUAUUGCAUUAGAGACACAUCAGUCCUCAGCACAGAUUUUAAUAAGCAUCAGGCACCGCUCAAGUGACAUCGAACAAUUGGAAAUGGGAGCAUGUGGGUAUAGGGUUGACCGAUGUGUGUACGGGCCUCAACAUAAUGAGAAAUUGCAAAAGCAGAUAAUGGAAAUAUUUAAUUUAUUUCCCUGACAUGCUGAGGGGCAAAUAGACUACAGAACUCUCUGGAAGAACAAAAUGUUCAAGCAAACUCUGCACUUAAUGGGUCUCUGUUUACAUGGUUAUGUGUCUGUUGGACAUGCCUGACCUACAGCUGCAGGGGACAUGCCUCUAUGGUAGCGUAAAAGGCAUAUGUGAUGGUCUGAAACAGUUGUGGUUUGGCAGCUCAUCAGUCCUAACACAUUCUGCAUGCCGAAAACAGAGCAUGUUUGCCUGAAUGCAAAUGUAUUACUUGCACCACGGUCCUGGUCUGUCAGUUUCUUGCAUGGUUAUUUUGUUAGUUUUGCACAACCAGUGCGUUCACUCCAGGGAGUCGGUGUAUUGAGUGCAUGGGGAGUGGCUCCAACAGUUCUAUGAUGGUUUCUGGCUCAAGUCCUGGAGAACCAUGGCUGCCGGCCACCUUUUUCAGCAUGAAAAUGCUUGUAAUAACCAAGCCUCUAAAAGGGCUCUCCCUCAAUGUAGUGUGACAAGGCUGAAUUGAAUGUCCAUGUGGAAUCUGGCUUGAGAAAUCUGUAGCCCUUCAGGACAAGAGUUGGACACCUCCACCUUGGCUGUCACAGUAGUAAUAUUCCAUUGCAUGUUGUCCAACAGCAAAUGCACCCAACACAAUGUGGGGAAAUUAUGGGAAUUUCUUGUGAUUGGAAAUGGAAUACAAGUGCCAGGAGCCUAUUCUUUUGUUUUCUUAAAGGGAUUGAUAGGCUUGGAGUUGCCAUGCAGCUAACUUUGAGUGUCUUUCAACACGGCAGUUGGUUUUUAUCUCAAUAGUAACAAACUAAGCCUUUGGGGGCUGAGAAACUGAUUGAUGACAUUGGGGAAUGGACAGAAUUUCAGUUAAUUUGCAAGUCAUUCAAACUUCUUGUCUCUGGAAGUUAGCACAUCUUCAGGCACAUUUGACCAAGUUCACACCCAGCCUGCAAAUGAAUUCAUCUGCCUCAAAGGGAAAUGCCUGAUGACUUCAAUGAUUUUUAUGUGGUUUUUACCAGUAAAUGAUGUUUGGCCCCUCAAAUAUUGUCAGAAAUAAAGAUAUUGAAU